ACGUCGAUGGCUUUUUUGCCUUAUAAUCGUCAUGCCAAUUAGGUUGGUUUUAGAUCGGCAAAAUAGCGGCAGAAAAGACGGUUUCCUGCCAUAGUUUGCCGAUGGUUUGCCAACUUAACCCCAACAUCGGCAGUGCGACGCUUUGCCGAUCAAUUCCUUGCAGUUCCCUUCCGAUGGUUUGCCAAUGGUUUGCCAACCUAACCCCAACCAUCGGCAACGCGACGUUUUGCCGAGCAAUUUCCUAAUGUUUCCUCCCGAUGCUUUGCCAACUUAACACCGACCAUCAACUGACAAUGUCCCAAACACAGUUUGCCGAUGGUUUGCCAACCUAACCCCGACCAUCGGCAACGCGACGCUUUGCAGAUCAUUUGAAGACCCCAAAACCAAAAGCCAGCGCCUGCUUGCUUGCAACCUGAGCAGCGCGAGUUCUGUUUGAAAUUAUUUCAGUUGUCAAGGGAACGAACAUUUUCUGUUUACUUUACUGGACGUCGCAGCAGUAGCCACCUCAAUCGUUUUUAGUUAGACGGCAUUACCAUUAUUUCUGUUGAAAUGUAGGUUUCAGCAUUACAAGUCAGGCGUGAUUAAACAUUUAUUUAGGUUGCUGAAAUAAAUCUCUUUGUCAUGCUGUGUCGAAGGACCUCAUCGAGUUUCUAAUCGAUAUCCCACCUCACUUUUCCUUACCGUUAGCAAGUUAGCUAACGUGUCAAACAUACCCAGCAACCAGGCAUACUGCUCCCGUAAUCAAGUUUCCUGCUGGAGUGGGGCUGUUGAUUCUUGUAGCCCAUGAUGACUGAUUGAAAGGACAUUAGGCCUACAGACUACGUCAAUUCACCACAAGUCAAUAUCAGAUCAACAGACAGGGACAUCAACCUUCUCUUGGGAAUAUGCCAGAUAUGCCAUAACAAGAAAAAAUGGUGUUUUGCCCCUGCAGUUGUGAAGAGGAUGCUGUGGAGGUGGCAGCAUGAACGUGUCACACAGACAUUAGCUAAACUACUCGGCUUCUACACUUGCCCUCAGAGUUCACAUAUGGUUAAGUGCACAGGUGUCCAUCCAGGUUCAGACUGAUGCUGGUAACAAGAGGAAAACAUGCUGAUUGGUAAGUGAGAUCCCUGCUCAACAAAAAUCCACACAGCACAACAAGUAAGCCUAGUUUGUGGUAUCAAAUGUAAAAUGUAAGUUUCAUCAAAAAGUUGUAGAACACAUCUGAAUAAAUUGCAGGCCAUCAAAGUAGUGAAUGGGCAGGGAAAACACAACCAGUAGGCUUAUGAAUUACUUUGACACAGCACAGCACAGCAGAUGCGAUGCUACCAUUCCUUGGGAAUAUGACACAGAGGUCUGCUAUUCCAUUGUAAAUAUUGACUGGAAAUGUUCAUGUUUCAACUGUUUAAAAACAUUGGACUCAGGGGAAAAAAUCUCUAGGUGUAUAUAAGUGAAAGCCCACCUUUGCCAUUGUGACACAGCACACAAGUAUACGCUGCACACAACGAAAUUGCAUUUUAUGCCUCAUCUGUGCAAGGGUGUAGCCUACAUUGGCAUCCCAAGGGAGCAGUAUGUUGCAGUGUGGCAGGAAGGUACCAUGCUUGGGGUACCUCAGUCAUGGAGGAUGGAGGAGAGAGCACUGGUUAAUUACUCCCUCCACCAACCUGGCGGGCUGGGAGAUGAACCAGCAACCUUUGGGUUGUUCAGCCCUGGGCUACAGGACACCCUAACCGCUUACCAAUGACUGCCCCACUUAUCCAUGACUGUAUAAGAAAUACCACAGAGUAGCGAGUACACUUUUAAAUUAAAAGGGUCACUAUAGAUGAUAGACUUUUCAUCCACAGGCAGGACUUAGGCUACAUACAGUAGAUGGUGAAAUCCUGCUUACAAAAACUGUUCUCAAUAAAUAGUUGUAAACUUUUGACAUGUCAAAGUCAUAGCCUAAACUGUAGGGUAUGUUCUCAUGUAAAGGGUGAUUUUCACAUCCAGCCCAUGUUCACAGAUUUUUUUUUCUCCUGCAGGAAUGAUUCAACGAUGGACACUUUGCUUAAUUGUGGAAAAAAAUAAAUGGAAAAACGUC
Long non-coding RNA from Engraulis encrasicolus (European anchovy), 2059 nucleotides. RefSeq lists it as uncharacterized. The record is from RefSeq and is a predicted model, not a curated record. Lineage: Eukaryota; Metazoa; Chordata; Actinopteri; Clupeiformes; Engraulidae. The transcript is spliced from 5 exons.